RNAcentral lists this transfer-messenger RNA (360 nucleotides) under bacterium. RNAcentral's name for it is "WJMD01 sp014728125 Standard tmRNA". It matches the Rfam family "transfer-messenger RNA". From Rfam's summary of the family: Bacterial tmRNA, also known as 10Sa RNA or SsrA, is named for its dual tRNA and mRNA-like properties. Its role is to liberate the mRNA from a stalled ribosome. To accomplish this part of the tmRNA is used as a reading frame that ends in a translation stop signal. The record is from RNAcentral. RNAcentral also lists the same sequence under 1 other name.
GGGGGCGAUCCGGUUUCGACGGAUGCGAGAGAAGCGCGGAUGGCAUGCCGAGGUCCCGUUGGCUCGUAAAACAAACGGGGACUUUUCCAACUGCCGAUUAUCAGCCGGCAUACGUCUGCUAACUAAGGCAGACGCGCUCCACCCGAUUUCGCCCGUGGGGUCGGGAUGGAGCGUCAUAUACACGGGCUAGUCUCAUCCGCACCGCCGCCGGGCGGUGAGGCGAAAUUCUACGGCGGCUGGUCCGGUUGGAAUCCAGCCCGUUGGAGUCCUUCUGGACGAGAACCAAACAUCGGGCUACGCAUGUAGAUGUCCGCGUGGAGCCGUGUCCGGACGCGGGUUCAACUCCCGCCGCCUCCACCA